UGAAGGUUAUGGUGAGGCAUAUCAGCUCAAUUGAAUGUGUUUUGAAGUCAUCUUGACACAAAGGCAAGUUCUUAGAGUCAUGAGAGGUCAAGAAAACGAAAAAAGAGCAAGUGAAAGUAUCAUGACAUGACUCGGGGACCCAAAGGAACAAAGGAGAUGAAGAAAUAUGCAUUUUAAAGUGAAGAACAUGGGUCACGUUGGUGGUCACGUCUUUCACUUUUCUUAUAUCU
Long non-coding RNA from Ipomoea nil (Japanese morning glory), 230 nucleotides. RefSeq lists it as uncharacterized. The transcript is spliced from 6 exons. NCBI's taxonomy places the organism in Eukaryota, Viridiplantae, Streptophyta, Magnoliopsida, Solanales, Convolvulaceae. The record is from RefSeq and is a predicted model, not a curated record.